ACGCGAGCUGGGUUCAGAACGUCGUGAGACAGUUCGGUCCCUAUCCGUCGCAGGCGUAGGAAAUUUGAGAAGACCUGUCCUUAGUACGAGAGGACCGGGAUGGACGUACCUCUGGUGUACCCGUUGUUCUGCCAAGGGCAUGGCUGGGUAGCUAUGUACGGAAUGGAUAAGCGCUGAAAGCAUCUAAGCGCGAAGCCAACUUCAAGAUAAGAUUUCCCACCGCAAGGGUAAGACCCCAGAAAGACUAUC
This 249-nucleotide ribosomal RNA is filed under the name Clostridioides difficile. RNAcentral's name for it is "partial 23S ribosomal RNA". It matches the Rfam family "Bacterial large subunit ribosomal RNA", at positions 2598 to 2849 of the family's 2925-position model. Lineage: Bacteria; Bacillati; Bacillota; Clostridia; Peptostreptococcales; Peptostreptococcaceae. The record is from RNAcentral.